This is a long non-coding RNA of Manis pentadactyla (Chinese pangolin), 2140 nucleotides long. RefSeq lists it as uncharacterized. NCBI's taxonomy places the organism in Eukaryota, Metazoa, Chordata, Mammalia, Pholidota, Manidae. The record is from RefSeq and is a predicted model, not a curated record. The transcript has 3 exons.
AACAUUUUGUUUUUGUGGGCAUAUGUUUUAAUUUCUCUUGGAUAAACCCCCAAGGGUGGCAUUACUGAGUCAGAGAGUAGGUGUAUGUUUAACUUUAUAAGUAACCAUCAGACCUUUUUCCAGACCUUACACUGUUUUGCAUUCCCACCGGCAAUAUCUGUGCAUUCCAGUUGCUCUACAAUCUCAUCAACAUUUAACAUUUCAUUGUUGUCAGGCUUUUAAAAUGUAGCCAUUCCAGUCAGUGUAUAGUGGUUGGUAAUUUGCUUUACUCUAAUAACUAGUGAUGUCAAACAGUGUUCCAUGUGCUUAUUUGUAUUCACACAUCUUCUCUUGUAAAGUAUCUGUUCAAGCCUUUUGCCCAUUUGUAAUGGAGUUGCUUGUCCUUUUAUUAUUGAAUCAUAGAAGUUCUUUGUAUAUUCUAAUGAAAAGUCCUUUGUUAGAUGUAUGUAUUCUGAAUAUUUUCUCCAAAUCUUUGGUCUAUUAAUUUUCUUAAUGGUGUCCUUUUAUCAGAUUUAUUAGAGCAUAGUGUAUAUAAGAGUCACCAAUUUAAAAUGUACAAUUCAAUGAGUUUUUGACAAAUGUACACAGUUUUGUAACUACCACAAAAAGCAUCAUAUAGAACACUUCCUUCAGUCCUAAAAGUUCCCUUAUGCUCUUUUAUAGUGAAUCCCUAGCUCCUGAAAAUCACUGAUCCUCUUACUGGCACUGUAGUUUUGCUUCUUCUAAAAUUUCACGUAAGCAGAAUCUUGCAGUAUGUAAUCUUUUAUGUCUAGUUUCUUCCACUCAGCAUAAUGUUUUUGAGAUUCAUCCAUGUUGUUGUGUGUAAAAGCUGUUCCUCUUUUUGAUGAAUAGUAUCUCAUUGUAUGGAUAUUCCACAAUUUAUCAAUUUAACCAUUUGAUGGAUAUUUGGGUAUUUGCAUUUGCAGCUAAUAUAGGUAAAGCUGCUAUGAAUAUUUAUGUAAAUGUCUAUAUGUGUUUAUUUUCAUUUCCCCAGGGUAACUACCUUGGAGUGGGUUUGUUGGGUCAUAUAAUAAGAAUACAUUUAACUUCAUAAGUGAAUCAAACUGUUUUCCGAAGUGACCAUUUUGCAUUCCUACCAUCUCAUAGGACUCCAGUUGCUCCUCAUCCUGUCAACAUGGACAAUCAGUCAGUCUUUUUAAAUUUUAGCCAUUCAACUAGCUGUAGAGUGGUCUUUCCAUGUGAUUUUAAUUUGUGUUUUUGUAGUGACUAAUGUUGAGCUUCUUUCAUGUGCUUAUUUUCCAUUCAUUUAUGUUUGUUGGUAAAAUGUCUCUCCAAGCCUUUUGCCCAGUUUUUAAUCAGGUUGUUUGUCCGCUUAUUGAGUGGGAAGAGUUUUUGAUGUUUUUUAAAAAAUAUUCUGGAUCCAAGUCCUUUAUGAGAUUGUAUUCUGCAAAUAUUUUCUACCCCAUUGUGGCUUGCCUUUUCAUUUUUUUAACUGUCUUGUAAAAAACAAAAAGUUUUCAUCUUGAUGAAGUCCCAUGUAUCGCUUUUUCUUUUUAUUGUAGGGAUUGUGCUUUCUGUGUCCUAUCUAAGAAAUCUUGGCUAAUCCAAGGUCACAAAGAUUUUAGGUUUUUGACCCACCAUUUCGAGUUAAUUGUUGUUUAUGGUACAAGAGAAAGAUAUAUUUUUUUCUUUUUAGAUAUCCAAUUGUCCCAGCACCAUUUGUUGAAAAGAUGAUCAUUUCCCCCAUUGAAUUACCUUGGCACUGUUAUGAAAAUCAAUUAACCAUAUAUAUUGUUGUGCUGCACACCUCCUCACAGCUCCGGCAUCAGUGACCACAUAGGUAACCUGAAAUUGACCGUGCAUUUUGAAGAUACUGCUCAACUGAGUCCCAGCCCCCAUCAUUUAUGAGAAGUCGGCCAUCACUGUAUAAGUGUUCCUCUCUGGGUGUUUUUAGUAUACUCUCUUUACUUUGGGUUUCAUCAGUUUGAUCAUCAUAUGCCGAGAUGUGGUUUUCUUCAUAUUUACCUUAAUUAGAUUUAAUGAGCUUCUUGUAUUUCUAAGUUGAUUCCUUUCACUAAAUUUGUAAAGUUUUGAGUCAUUAUUUCUUUAAGUUUUUCUGACCCAUUCUCACUCUCCAUUCAUGUUAGACUGUUUGAUGUUGUCCCACAGACCUCUGAGG